CCCACGGGGGGCUGCAGUGGGGAAUAUUGGACAAUGGGGGGAACCCUGAUCCAGCCAUGCCGCGUGUGUGAAGAAGGCCCUCGGGUUGUAAAGCACUUUCAGUGAGGAAGAACGCCUGGUGGUUAAUACCCAUCAGGAAAGACAUCACUCACAGAAGAAGCACCGGCUAACUCCGUGCCAGCAGCCGCGGUAAUACGGAGGGUGCGAGCGUUAAUCGGAAUUACUGGGCGUAAGGCGCGCGUAGGUGGCUUGAUAAGCCGGUUGUGAAAGCCCCGGGCUCAACCUGGGAACGGCAUCCGGAACUGUCAAGCUAGAGUGCAGGAGAGGAAGGUAGAAUUCCCGGUGUAGCGGUGAAAUGCGUAGAGAUCGGGAGGAAUACCAGUGGCGAAGGCGGCCUUCUGGACUGACACUGACACUGAGGUGCGAAAGCGUGGGUAGCAAACAGGAUUAGAUACCCGGGUAGUC
RNAcentral lists this ribosomal RNA (465 nucleotides) under Vreelandella stevensii. Its description in RNAcentral is "partial 16S ribosomal RNA". It matches the Rfam family "Bacterial small subunit ribosomal RNA", at positions 338 to 795 of the family's 1533-position model. The record is from RNAcentral. Lineage: Bacteria; Pseudomonadati; Pseudomonadota; Gammaproteobacteria; Oceanospirillales; Halomonadaceae.